Non-coding RNA from Rattus norvegicus (Norway rat), 20391 nucleotides. The record is from RefSeq and is a predicted model, not a curated record. NCBI's taxonomy places the organism in Eukaryota, Metazoa, Chordata, Mammalia, Rodentia, Muridae.
AUGCUUUUUUUUGCAUAUAAACAUAUAAAAAUAGCCAGGCCAGUAGGACUGACUCCUGCUUUAAUUCAUGAGGAGCCCACAGGCCAGUUAAUAUUCACUCUGCGAGCCCAGUGCCUGGAUGCUAAGAGUGCUUCAAGACAGUAGCACUCUACUGCAUGCUCUCCAAACACCACAGCCUGAUGCUGGGCCCCCUGCUGCUCCCGCCCUCGUCAGCUCGCCAACAUCAGGAGCAAGUGGGUGCACAGAGUCCAGCACCAGUAGAACUCAUCAAGAAUCUAGCCUUUGAUACACUCAUUCACACUAGGUAUUUCUGUUCCCUAUAUUUAGUUCUGAACUCUGCAUGCUAAAAUUGUACACCAGACAGACUUGCUUCAGUCACCUAAUAAAACCUCACCAGGCACAUCUCUUCAGAAGAAGUAAUGAAAUCGGCUUCCUCUUCCUAAGGCCGGCUCUUCAGCGCGAUCCCAGGUGCAGCACUGGCAGCAGACAUAGGAUGGAGAAAUGCUAGCCCCAUCCUGGCUGCCCGUCACCACCACCACCCUCCAAACUACCAGGGUCUAGAGAAUUAAAACAUCACAGCCCGUGGCCAGUGAGUUAGAAUCCGAGACCUGUACACUAAAGAAAUUUUCAGACAUUGUUCAAAAUGAGUAUGUGCUAACAUCCAUGGAAGCCUCCUAGAGUACAAAUAUGUCGUUUCCUAGCCCACUGUGGGAUAUUUCCCAGAAGUGAAGACCACCCAGCUCUGGGCAUGCAUCUAAAGGAGGGGCAUGUGCCUAGCGUGAACCAAGCCCUGAACUAGAUUCUCAGCAUAGAAAACAGUAAGUUAGCAGAACCAUAUUACUAUUUCUUAGAAGGAACAAACAAAACCAGAUCUAUAAAAUGUUUAAGCAUAUGACAGAUUAUUUAUAUCAUUGUAGAUGUGCACAUAUGUAAAACAAAAAUGUGAAAAUAUGUAAAACUAGUGAUUACCUCUGAGGAUGAAAAAGAAAUGCCCAGGUCUCACUCGUGUGCGGGCUGCGUAACAGUUCUCAGCACCCAACCUUGCACAUGCUGGUGUGCCCUUCAUGGCUCUCACCAGAACCUGAGGAGAAGACAGGACCCCCAGGAUCCAGAACACCCUCGUUUUGAAUGAAGAUGGAGAACAUUUCAGAGAAAAGAGAGAGGUGGUAGAAGUACUCCGAGCAUGUCAGCCGGCUCAGAAUUUUGGACAACUGAGGCAGGAUUUGGUUGUGCAAACGCAGCACUGCCGUCAUUUCUCGUUGGCAUACCUUCGUUGUGCAUGGUGAUUCCUCGCCCAUACCCAGCCUCCCUCCUCUCCCCAGCCCGUUCCAGCCACUAGCAGACUCAUGUAUACUUUGGUAUCCCAUAUACUUACACAGUCGUAUAUGUUUAUGUAAAAUCUAUGGUCCACGAGUUAGAGCAAGCAUCGUAUUUCUCUCCCUAGGUCUGCAUGACUUUACAGAAUAUGCUCUGCCACUAUAUCCAUUUUCCAGCAGACGGCUUCAGUUUACAGCUGAUGACACCCUGUCCUACAUGCGUACAUGUUUUCUCUACUCACUCUCUGCUGACAGCUAGGCGGAGUCCAUCUUCGCAGACAUUAUGAAAUGUCUGAGCCCAUGUGUGUUGAAACACCGUCUCUGCCAUUUUCCCUCUGAUGCGGCCACUUCCUCCAAUUCCAUAUAAGCCCAACAGAAUUCCCUAGUGCUCUCUGCAGGGACCAGUCAGAGAAUAAUUUCAGUUUUUAAAAAAGCAGUUUGUGGUUUUUUUGUUUUUGAAGUUCUAAUUUAAUUAUCUCAUUUGCCCCUUUCUUUUCUCCCUUCAAACCCUUCUAUACUUGGUCUUUUUCAAGUUCAUGGCUUCUGUUUUCAUCAAUCUUUACUAUAUACAUAAUGUGUGUAUAUAUCCAUGUGUAUAUAUAUCUGCAUGUGUAUACAUACAUAUAUAUGUACAUACACACACACACACACACACGUCUAAAUUUCUAGUCAUAACCUGCUUGGUCUGUAUAAUGUUGUUUGUAUAUAUGUCUUUGGUAUUGGAUAACCAAUUGGUGUGCUCUUCACUGAAGAAGACAAUUUCUUCCACUUCCAGUAUUUCUUAGUUCUUUGUGUAGGCUUGAGGCCUUUUGAGUUCACUGCCACCACCACCCUCAUCUACAUUGGCAUCUAUUUUUAUUGUCCUUUAAAGCACCUGCUUGGGCGGCCAUAUUGGUGUGACUUUGUCAGUGUAGCUUCUGACAUUACUAGGAGCACAACCUAACAUAGAACUCUCUGGUCCUCUGGCUGUUAGACUCUUUCUGCCCCCUCUUCUCCGUGAAAGAAAGAAAGUCGAAUGACAAAAUUUAGAUUAGUUUAGCUAAAUGUUCAUCUUACUUUAACUGCAAAAAGCCAAAGGUUCUGAAAUGUAGUAGUAACUAGAGUAUUGUGGGAUUUCACCAUUACAGAUUUCACUAGAUAAGUAAUUUCCAAAAAGAAUAGGAAACUAAGUUUGGUAUUAUUAAAUAUGUUUGCAGUCACAAGGAAACAUUUAGGCCAAGUGAAUGAAUGAACUGCAAAAAAAUAUAUAUAUUAAAUUAAAAACAUGAGAGCAUAUUAAAGACAUGGCCUUUAAACUUCACUUCAUUUUUAUAUUUGGGCUUGUUUUAUGUUUAUGUGUUGUGGUCAAGGAUAUUAUCCUGAGACCAAGCAUCCCGUCUGAGCUCUUGUUCUUUGCCUGUGACAACACUAGAAGGAGAAAACAACUGGUGUUUUGUUCUAGCUGUGGCCAUGCCUUCCACUUUGGGUGAAGCUGGUGGCAGGUUAAAAGGUCAAACCAGCCCUUGGGUUUUCCUUUCUCAAGGGGUAAUUGAAGCUAAUGCAGAUCUGUCUGGGAUUUUUCAUGUAAUAAAAAUGCACAUUGUCACAUGCCCUCGGGUUUGUUUCCUCUGAGGCCACACAGUCAGUAAUGCAUCUGCCCAUCUAUAAAUGGGGACAUUAUAGAACAGGUCAUUAGAAUGUGUGAGAAGCACACAGCUUGCUGCUGUUUUUAGAACACAUUGAGGUGACAGACAGGGGACAUCCUUUUCAAACUGUCACUGCCAGGUUCCUGACAAGAUUGUAUGUGUGAGGUGCAUAGCCCUGUCAUGUUGUGUCAGCAUGGCCUAUGUGGAAAGGGUUAGAUAGAAGCAGAAUAUGGCUGGAAAACACUGCUUUACCUUAGUGAUAACCAAGAAGGCAGGGGAGGUGUGAAAAGAGUUCCACUGAGGGUCCUAUCAGUGUGAACAGUCUGUUUAUACAGUGUCAAUGUGGAGGAGUUAAGAGGGGUCACAUUCUUCAAUGCCAUUCACAAGAGCACAUCUGCUUUCACCAGAGCUGUGACAGCCAGCAGCCUAGCCGUUAGUCAGGCAGCCUCCAUCUCUGCUCACUGGGAAGCGUGGUGCAUUUCCUGUCUUUGCUUGCAGCCUUUAACAGAGAGACAUGAAUCAGUGCCUAUGCUGUAGAGAGAUCUCUGCUCUAUGAACCUCCACUCCUAAGAAAAUGGUAAGGCCGUCAGACCUUACUAGGAUGGCGUCAGAAGUACCGGGCCUGUAGAAAGAGUGUUCAGUAACUGACCAGCACCACUCCUACCCCUCGCCAAACCCACCGGCCAUGUCUUUGUCACAGCUGCUGCUUCCUCAGUCCUAAGGAGAGCUGGUUUUGGUGGUAUGGUGUUGAAUGACCUCAGAGAAGAAUGUGCGAUACCUGUUAUGUUGCCCCAGCAUAGCCUAUUGCGAGCGCCGUGGUAGCCCUUUUAUGUGAGUUCCCUUGGCCAUUCGAUUUCAUUUCUGACUGACGCCUUUGUAUGUGUGCUAGCCCUGGCAUCCGUACCACAGAACCCACUGCUGUGAUCCCUUUUCUAGAGCUUGAUCCUCAGACAUUCCUAUUUUAUGUCAUAACCGUUUUAUGAUUGAUUUGUAUCUUUAGAUUCUCUGUUGGUGAAGUUUUCUGAAAGCCUCACUUUCACUUGUUUUUUGUUUUUGUUUUUUUGUUUUGUUUUCUCCUUUCUUUCCUUUUGAAUUCCAGUUAAUCUUACACUCAGCUCAAAAGGGAACCAAAUCUUAUGGGGCGGGGGGAGUAUAAGAAAUGGAAUGAUAGGUCUCCAGUUUACUCCCCCCUAAAUGAUAAUGUACAAAUUCAUUACUUAGAGGAGCGGCGUUGAGUGAGAGGAUAGGGAUUCCCACCUGCAAAGAAAAACCUAGAUUCUAAAUGAGAUGCAGACAGGAGUCUGGUCUCCCCACAUCUGCUGGAAAUUAUUCCCUGACAAUUAGAUCAUGGCAUUAACUCAUGUCACUUGAUAGCUAAAUUGUCUUCUGAAGGCUUUCUCCACAGCAUCAGUUAAGACAUUUUUUGUCUUUUAGAAAAUUAUUUUCUCAUCCUUUUGAUGCCAAACGUGAUCAUUAAUGCUGAAUUGCUAGCUUUAAAGAGAGAAUUUUGAAAUUAGGAAAUACUCAAUUGACUUUCACAUCUAUUUUUCAUGCUCAAUGUAGGAUAAGACUGUAUCAGGAUAUUCAAACUGUUCAAUAAAAAACACACCAGAAACGAAGUGGCCCACAUCUAUAAUAAAAAAUAUCAUCCCUUGGGGCUGGGGAUUUAGCUCAGCGGUAGAGCGCUUACCUAAGAAGCACAAGGCCCUGGGUUCGGUCCCCAGCUCCGGGGAAAAAAAAAAAAAAAUAUCAUCCCACUUAAAAUACAUGAAUUGUAGUUAGUUCCCAACAGUUGCAGUGAACUGAUAAUCUGUGGACUUCCUUCUCUUGUCGUGUGAUAUGGAUAAAGCAGCAUUUAAUUUUCUUUUUUCUUCCCCUCCUCACCCCCUCGCCCCCCCCCCGCCCCCCCCCGGAGCUGAGGACUGAACCCAGGGCCUUGCGCUUGCUAGGCAAGUGCUCUACCACUGAGCUAAAUCCCCAACCCUUAAUUUUCAUUUUGAGGAAAAUACUUUGUUUGGGGUAAGCAGCGUGGAUCAUUUUUCUUCUACUCUAAAAUCUUGUUAUAAUACUGGAUUAUGGGCGCAGAUAUAUUACGGAUGUUUUAACUUACAACAGGGAUACAUGACUUGUAAGGUCUAAGUCCAUGACAUAGGAAAUCUCAUGUGUGUCAGCCUGGCACAUCCAAUGUUGAACAUAGCUACCAUCCCUAGCCUUGCCCCUCCUGUCCCACUUCACGGUGGUUUUCCCAUCUGUGCCUUGCAAUGCCAGCUUUUCGGUUGCUGAGGCCACACAACCUGGGCACCUGUCUUUACCUCCCACACUCAAGCCGUUACGGAAUUCUGUUGCUUCUCCCUUCAGCAUAGACCCAGAAUACCACUGUCUCUCGAUGCCACCACCCAUGUGGCUGUGACCGUCCAUCUUCACAUGGGCUACUAAGAGAGGGCUGAAUCUAGAGUCCUCACUUUCACCCAGCUCCGUCUAACAUUUUAAACAUGGCAGUCAGUGGAAGUUUUUAAAGUGUAAGUCACAGUGUUAUACUGUUUAAACCACAGGUAAUUCAGAGUAAACCUUCCGGCCCUUACAGUGGUGUGUGAGGCUCUGUGGAAUUGUCACCCUGCUCCUCAGUCUCCCUGACCUCCUCUCUCCCCACCCUCCCCACACACCCCCCUCCCUGGCUGCUCGCCAAGCUCUGUGUUCCAUCCCGGGGUCUUUGUGGUAGCCACCCUGCUACCCAAAGCACUGUUUCCCCCCGCCCUGACAGGGUGCCCCUUGGCUCCUUCGGGUCAGUGUCUAGGUGAUGCUUCAGAGAAUUCAACUCUACCUUAGAAAUGCAGUACUCUCCUUUCCACACGUUCAGUCUCCAUUAGCCACUGAGCACUUUACCCAAUAACGUACGUAAUGCUCACACACUGUCCCACAAGGCCAGAACCUGCUAUAUUCAUUUACAGAUGACGGGUCUAGUCCCAGGCCUUUCACUGAGCUGGAGAGAUGGCACAGCCAACCAGAGCACUUGGUGCAAUUUCUGAAAACCCAAAUUCAGUUCUCAGGUUCCACAUGGCUCCUGACUGCCUGUUACUCCAGUUCUAGGAGUACCAGUGCCAGGCAUGCCCAUAGCACGAACACAUGUGUUCAGGCAAACAUCAAUACACACAAAAAAAUACUUUUAAAAGGUUGUUUUUCUUGUACUCAGUCCAUUAGAAUGAGGUUCUUUUUUUUUUUUUUGUCAACUUUUUUUUAACUAGUAUUUCAAUGUUCAGAACCUAACAGAAAGCAGAUAUCCAAUAAAUAUUUGUUAAAUUGACAGACAAGCCAUGACUUCCCAGAAAGAACUUUGGAAGGGCCAACAUGAGUUCAUUACAUGCUCAUAGCUUAGUGUCUUCAUGAAAAGAGGUUGUGUUUAUGAUAAACACGCAGAAGGGUCCAGCCUCGGCUCAAGAACAACUCCAACAGUAGAUAAAUAAUCUCUAGAUAUUGGAUUCCCUUCUCCCAGACAGAAACAACAAAAUCCAUCUAAUCCCCUCACCAAGGCCCUGUCAUGGCCUAGGGAAACACUGGCGGGAAAGCUGCUCUCACAGGCGAAGACCUGUAAUGAGAAAUGCUCAUUUAUAUCUGACCCUUGUCUAAGCACUGUGUUAGCUCAUUUGCUUCUUAUAAGCAACCUUGUGACGCGUUCACGUCUAUCCUCCUCUAUUUUCUAAGUUGGGAAAAGAUUUGGGCCUUAGUGAAGUUACUUAUCACAGAACACAGAAGCUGGGAUACCAGACUGAGCCCAGAGCUUCUGCCCCUGAUCACCAGUCUUCUGAGAUUCUCACUACAGGAACCAAGGUGCCUCUCUGGUAGACAUUCCACUGACUUAUAGAGUUUAUGAUCGGGGGGGGGGGGGGAGGACCACAGGCUUCAGUUGAAAAUAAUUCUAUAGGUAAAACUGAAAUGAAUUCCAGAAGGACCAAUCAGUACUGGUUAGUCAGACCAACCUAGAACCUCGUCACGGCGGGGCGUUUUGACCAUAAUCUGAGAGGAAAGGAAAACAUGCAACUGAGGAGACAGGUCGUGUUACAGGUGGGAAGAAAGUUGUGCAGACAGACUAUUAAGAAAAAUGUUAGGGACAAUGAUGUGUCUGUGCAAUGCCAAAACAUCUGGUCAAUCCCACUUUUUUUUUAAAAGCCAACCUCCAUCGAUGUAGUGAAUUUCUUCAGUCAAUCCAGAUGUUUGGCGGCUCGUAGACAAAACACCCAGAUGAUUAAGUGAAGAUUUGACGGAGUUGACUGGAUUAGCCAGAUGUUGCAGCAUUGUAUAGACGCUGUCAGGACGUUUCCUUGGCUGGAGUGGGGUCCAGCUGCUAAGGAGACGGAUGGUCUGGGCAGUGAGGGGAGCUUUCGAGCAGAAGACCUGGAUUGGAUGCAACUGGGAACCGCUGCACGAGGUGCGCGGUGGAAGAGAAUGCCGGGUGAGGAGAAGCAAGAAUAACAGUGAGAGGAAAAGCUGCAGACAGGAAAGAGGAGCUUAGGAGAGCGCAGGUGCACGUGAGGUGAUUAAAGCCCGGACCAGAAUGCUGGGAAAGUGACAAGAAGAACCGGAUCUGAAAAACAUUACAGGAAGAGAACAGGAAGUCAUGAUGGGCUAGACAAGGGAGUAAAAUGCACAUCACCCCAAGGCUGGAGACAGCAAGGCCUGGGAAAGCAGCUGCUGGCAGUGUCCCCACAGGAGUGAACCAACAGGGGACCCCCCCUCCACCUCCCGAAAGCCUCCGCUCAGAGGCCGCUGCCAGGUUUGCAGGUGCCGAGAACACACAUCCUUCAACUGCUGGGUCCCACGUCAGUUCGUCAGUUCGUCAGUUUGGUGCUGGGUUCACACUAUCAGGUGGACAAAGCCAGUGAAGAGGGUGCAUUUUAACGAGAUUUGCUUUCAUGUAAUGUGCAGCGUGAUUGGAGAAAUAUAAAGCAUAAUUAUGUGCAGUAAGAUUAUGAUAAACUGCACAGGGCCUAUUUGAUAGCAGAUUGGUGUUUGAAAAGCCUGUCUAUAAGCAGGCGUUAAAGGCUGAGCACAAGCAUUUACUGGUGUGAUUCAAAGGUCUGAUUUCGAAAAGUUUGGAAAUCACAAGCCUUGGCUUAGACAUUUCACAAAAUUCUUUCUUAAAUGUUCAAAUCUUACUUGAUAAGAAUCAAGCUUGUCUUUAGACACAGACAUGGAUUUCAGUGUAUUAGCGUUAGCCCCGUGAUGGUGCUACAGUUGAAAUCUUUAAAUGUCCCCCCAAGGCCCAUCUGUUUAUAGCUCGGUUCCUAGCCUCCAGCACUAAGGAAGGUGGUAGACGUUUAGGACAUCAACCUUGUGGAAGGAAGCUGUGUCAUGGGAAGUAUGCUCUUGAAGGAGAUGCUAUCUCUCUUUUCCUUUCCCACAGUCUUUGAGGUCAGCAGCCUCCGUGCUCCCACAGUGGUCUGAUUUGCUCCACAACAAUGCAACCAGGUAACCACGGGCCAAAACUGCUGAAACCCUGUGCCAAAGUAAGCCUUCCCUCUGCCAUGGAUUCAUCUCAGGUAUUUGUCAUAGUGAGGGGAAGCUAGCACACAGGGAGGGUGCUCUGGUUACUUAAGAACAUCCUGAGCAUUUACGGAAUUCGUGGUUUUUCACGUGUGCAGUCUCUAGCAUUUUCAGCUCCAGGCCCAUCGGCCCACACAACCAGUCGGGUGCCCUUUAGAAACACACUGAGAUUUUUCUCCAAAUACUUGCUUGUUGAACAGAGAAAAAAAAAAAAAAAAAGCAAACCAAACCAAAUUGUUUUCAUAGUUUGAAAUACAACUCCAUGCAACGCCCCAGGUUCAAGCCCCAGAACCAAAAAAUAAAAGUAAAAAUAAAACAACAAAAAUAGCAGAAGGAAACACCUUUCAGAGAGACUAAGCUCCGUUCACGUUUUUUGCACUAUCUCUCCCCUACCCAAACCCACUCAACCCUGAAGUGGAUAUUUAAGGGUCCUUUGGAGAGUCAGUUGUGUUGGGUGGUGCUUUGCUAGGGCAAACACGAGAAGGAGAGUUUUUCUAAAGUGGACACAGGUGAAAGACUGAGCACACUCAUGAAGGAAUGUUUCACAGAAGCAGACAUAGAAUGUUCUGCUAAAGCAAACACAUGAAAGAACAUGUGACGAAGGGUUCUUGGUUAACAACACGCAUGUAUUGGUCUACCAUGCACUGUAUAGUUGAGCUCCAUUGGUCAGGACUCUGAGGACUCGAGCUGAGGCAAGGCACGUGGAGGACCCGUGAUGUUUGGAGGGUACAUAUAGGACUUGACGGCAUGAUGGAGACAGCUAGGCUUGCUGGUCCAGAUAGCUAGCUGUGCAGCACUUGUGGGUCUAGCAUCUUUUCUGAUCUUCACUUCCCUGAGAGAGGCACGGCUAAGAACUUCCCCUGGCGUUCGUGUUGGUCCCUCCUGUUGACUUGAGCUGAGGCUGAGUCCCGGCUGUCUCUGCUAGGUCACGUCACUGCUGUGGCUAGCCUGACUACUGAACUGGUGGACACACUGCUGGUGUAUCCGUGAAGUGUUUGCUGGUGGAUCAAGCUGCCGCCACCAACCUGUGAACUGAAGUGGGGAUCUCUAGACAGCACAGACAGGAGUUGCUCCAAAGAACCUUUCUAAACAGGUUCACUCCCCUGCACCCCAUCUUCCACCCUGUAUCCUUUCUUUCACACUACCUCUGGUGGGUGGUGGGCUACAAGGAAGACUAAAGCGUUUAAGAAACACCCUUAAAAAAUAGGAUUUGAAAAGAAUUAAAGUUACACCACCCCCUACAAACACCCUAGAAGAAGGCAGAAUGUAAGAGUAGAAAUGUGUUCAUGUAUUGCAGUCACCCUGGGGAGAUGAAGGGAUCAGGGAUCCUAUUGUCACUAAUUCUCCACACUCAGAAAGGACAAGUCUGGGUAGGGGUCCAGGGCCUGUUGUGUUGUUGAUUUUGUUGUCGUUGCUUAUUAAGCUCCCCCAACUAAUUGUGAGGCUUGGUUUUGUUUUUCACUUCCUGAGAGAUCAGUCCUGGACAGAGAGAGAGACUCAAACUGCAAACCUUGGUUUAAUGUCUUUGCUCACCUAAGAGUCAUGUCGCCCUAAAGCUUCCUUUGAGAAAUGAGCUCCAAGGCCAAUUUACCCUAUCCUUUGAUGGUAGGAUUGUCACAGAUGCUGCCUGAAGUCUGAUGCAAUCAGCCUGAGAACCCAGGAUGAUAGGAGGACCUUUGUCUUGUUCUCAAUUCCCAGCACUACUACAGGCUGGGUGGUGGUGGGGGGAGGGGAAUCAAUGAUCUUGAUAAGUCUCUCCCAGUAUUCCAAGGCUGAACAAGUCACUUAUUUAUCAAAUAGAACGCCAGUUGGUUUCUCUAGAACAAUGAGCGAUUCAGGUGUUUCAUAUCUGCUUCCUGUAACCCUUCUAGUAUAGAAAGGAGAUUUAGCGGAUAGCAAGUUAACUUUUUCAAAAAGCUACACCAAGGUUAGAGUGUUUGUUCUCUUAGAUGCCCACAAGAAAAUGUUCUGGAUUGUCCUUUUUUUUUUUCCUUGAUAGUUUGGUUUCAUUUGCCCUGGUAUCAACGUAUUUUCCCGGACCUCUUUUUCCCCAAGGAUGUAGGAGUAGACAUUGGGAGACUUUUGUUUAAAAGCCAGUCAGAGUAGCACAGUGGACAGUCGGACGUGCGCUUAGCUCACUUUGUCGCUUUUUAAGUACACUGGACAUCACGUCCACAAGCAUCGCUGUCGGUCUGAGAGGUGGUUAAUUCUCCAGACUCUUUCAAGUCUCUUCUAGCAACCACAGCAAAUAGUGUCAUGCCCCUGUGGGAGGGUUGGGAGGGCAACAGAGGGCUGUGAAGGAAAAACCCUUGGGAAUGUUCACAACACAAAGGUCUUUUGUCCUGAACCAAAUCGAAAUUGAGAGAUUCAUUUCCAUUGAUCCUCUUAUCGUCUGUGUAAAUACAUUAAUGCUCACCACCUCGAUCUGAACCACAGAACUGAUACGGGUGCUUAAUUGAUUCUGCUGCCUUAGUAUAACUGAUCUCAUAGAAAGGCUUUUGAGUACUGAAUGGUUUUUUUUUCUAGAGGGAAACUGCCAGCUCAUACAAUGACUUUGUAAAAGCUGAGAGGGGAAGGCACCAUUCCCAAGGCACUUCCCACGCGUCAGAAAUUGUAAGAAUGAACUUCGGGAAAAUCCUUCCCUGCAUCUGCAAUGUAAGAGUGCCUGCCCUGCCAUUUUCUUGUUUCUCUGUUACAUUCCAGUUCCCUCUGGAGCCAGAUCUUUGUCCCUACAACAACAUGGCCCUGGAGCAAUUGUUAAGCAGAUUGACCCUGCUUGGCCUGGUCUGUCUCUAUGUCCCUUAAAGAGACUCCGUGUUGGUUGUUGAUUGAUCGACACAUACAUGCAUAGAUAGAUGAAUAACAUGUCCUGAGAAUUCAGACUAGACAGGAAAUCCAGAACAGGAUCCCCACCACUGCCUCUGGCACCUGACUUUCUAAAGAGCUCUGGGAAGAUAAUUCCUUACCAAGCUUGCCAACCAAUGACCACCCAACAAAAUGAGGAACAAAAAACAUUCUUCCCAGCCCUGAGGAAUAUGAGUAGUAAGUACUCUUCUACGGGCUGGUAAUAGUCUUCGGUCUCCACAAGCCACUGGCUGCUGCGUCACCGUCUCCUUGGAAACACACCUGGGGAAGCCCUCUCUUUAUGCUCAGCGCAGGCUGCACAUUCAGUGUCUUCUCUCCAGAGCGAAUGCCCUCCGUGCUAACAAGGGCGAGAACUACUCACGAGUUAAGUACAUAACAUGGAAACUCCUAGAAUAUCCCAGUGAACAUCUCCCAGUUUGUUCAUUAACAACAAGAGUUUUCUGUUUCUCAAGAAUUACACCAAGAGCCAUCUGAAGAUGGGGCAGCCAUUUAAAAGUCUGUACCAGGCAAAGAAGUCUUCUGGCUUCUGGGAAGUGUCCUCUUUGUAUUUUCCUUGCUGUUGGUAGUUAAGAGCUUAGCCCAUAAACAGAGGAAACGGUAUUUUGUUCUGUUUUCCUUUCUAUUAGUGAAGUUUUCUCCAAUCACCUGCCAUACUAAGGAUAAAGUACUACAUCGACAAAUUCUAAAACCCAAGUUCUCCCUCUUCUGGGCCAACACAACAGACACAAGUUUUGGCAUUUCCAUCGUCCUUUAACAUUACUACAGAACAAGAAAAUGGCUUUGGUGGCCACAGAUCCAACAUGUAUACAGUUAAACCUUAAGAAAACUGCUUCCAAGGCAGGACUCAGAUGCUCCAGAAAUUGUUGGAAUGGAUCAACAACAACAACAACAACAACAAAAAUAAAAAUAAAAAAUAACAUUUCAAAUCCUAGUCGCUUUGCCAGCAGGACCUCCUUGAGAUGAACUCCACGGGAAAGGGUUCCAUCUUCCAGAGUGGAUAUUCACUUGUUUGCUUUUCCAGCCAGGAGUCUAGGAGAAGCCAGCAGGCAAUUCAGUCAUUUGGUAAUGUCCUUCCCUCUGCCAAGGUGGAUUAAUGCUGGGAGAUCUUACAACUGGUGAGUAAUAGGUUAGUGUUUACAGAUCCUCCGAGAUCCCCGAGGUGUGAUUAUUUUCAUCUGUAGGCUUCUGUCAUCCCCCAAAGGGUGCUUUGUCAUUUCCUCUACUCUCCCUUCACUGGCCUCUCCAGACUGCGCUACAAGGACAAGGCCGGGGAGUCAUCACCGGUCUCCUCAAACCCAACUGGUAAACACUUCCCAGACCCUGCUGAAGUGAGAGGUUGUCCCACACUUAACACUGGCUUCCUUUCUACGGGGUUAGGGAUAGUUAUUUAUUAAGAUGUGAUUUUAAUAGCCGUGUUCUCACCCCAGCACUGUUUUAUUAUGCCCCUACGUCACCCUCAGAGUGGCCUUAGAAUGUCAUAGGCCUGUGAAGAUCCCAGUCCGUGAACAACCCCGCAUAUGGAAGAUGUGGUUUUAGAACUGAAUGCUCCUUUCAUUUUAAGCUGUUCUUGUGGUUCACUCCCCCGCAGCUGCUGUCACUGCCGCCACCACACUUCUGAAACUCAUGUUCUGCUCCUUUCUGGAUCCCUAAAAGCCUCUGACAUCAAAGAAGGCCACAUCCUAGAGUUUGAGUUCUGCACACACAAUAAAACUAGUUAAAUAAACUCUAAAGCUAAAAACAAGUAACAGACACUAUGCUUGUCUAGUGUGCUUGAGGCCCCUGACUCAAACACCAGCCCCGCAAAAAUAUAAAUGAAUAAAAUCCAAAAAGGAAAUAAAAAUAAAAUUAAAAGCUCAAGUUGUGUUGGUGCCACCAAGUGGCUUGGAUUCCUCAAUGACCUACCUCAACCCCGAGUUCCCUCCUUGAUAAGAACAUAUUUCUAUUCCAAAGGAUCAAGGGCAUGGAGAGGCUAACUCUGCCCCAGUGUGAGAGGAUGCUCAGUAAGAGCCGACCACUUCAGAAAUGGUUCUCUGUAGCGUUUCCUUUUCCAGUCAGCCUGGUUUAGAACUCUUAGCUAAAACUGGGUUCUCUACGAGGGAGGGGGCUCUCCAGCCCCUUGCCAUUGGCUGAGCUUCAAAUCAAGAGUUGUGCAGCGUCUCCUGGUUCUAAUCCCUUGCUGCCUUCAUUCGUGAACCUGAACGCAAAGUCUUUCCUGAGCCCUCACUACCUCUUUUCCUUCUGGUCAUUCAGGAGAUCAGGGACUUAGGAUGUCUUUGAAGGUCCCUUGAACUCUUGAGUCAAAUCUUAAGGUCACCCAUAACAGCCAAGCCAGAAGUUUGGACAACUGGGCCAAGUGUUUCUCAGAACCUGGGAAGUCCUUAUCACCAAGUACAUCCCCACAGAGGCACUGUGUUAUUGCCUAAGCCAAAUGUUGGGCCUGAUAUUAGGUAGUGGAGGCCAUAAGCCAGAGGUCCUGCCUUGGCUGGAACAGAAUCACCCAGGAGUUUGUUUAAAAAAAUAAUAAUAAAAAAUAAAUAAAUAAAAAUAAAACAGGUGCCUGCCUUCCCAAGCUGGGGACCCUGUUCUCAAAAGAUUUAGAGGCUAUCCUGAUGAUGGCCCAGGUUGGGAAACCCUGCUUAGAUCAGCCUCCAAUCUGUUCCUCCGGUGAUCUGGAGAGAAGCUGAAUUUUUGAUAAGUCAUCACGUGCUUCCAACCGAUCACCCAGCCUCAAGCGGAUAGCCUCUGAUUAGGGCUUCCUAACUCCUUUGUCUUACACCUCACUCCAUUAGGCCGGGAGAGAACAGCAUAUUCGAGCCAAAGUGAUACAAUCAAAAGAGAACAAGGCUUGUAGAAUCAGCAGCAGCUUGUUUGGAACAAUGGAUAUGAGUUCAAAAGAUUUAAAAGCCGGAGACUCAACACUGAUCAAGACGCAGAUAAAAGGACUGCUGUCUGCCAAGGCAAUCUGACACGCUACAGCACUCACUGUGCAGCUAACCCUAGUGGGACCUUUGCUUUAUAGAGAAAGGAAAAAGGAAAGAAAAUAGGGGAUUGUGGGAGCUGGGGAUUUAGCUCAGUGGUAGAGCGCUUACCUAGGAAGCGCAAGGCCCUGGGUUCGGUCCCCAGCUAGGAAAAAAAGAACCAAAAAAAAAAAAAAAAAAAUAGGGGAUUGUGGGGAAAGCCUUGAUGCAGUUCAAACAAAGGAGCAGGGCGGUAACCUUAGGCCAUCUUGUUGGAAGAUGUCCGCUCUGUCUUCGUAAACCUAAACUCAUCUCCAGGCCACCCUAUUCUACACCUUGACCACUCCAGGACGGUGUUCUUCAGUUGACAGUCACAUCCAACUAACCAAUUAAAUAACACAGAAUGGCACAGCCUAAGCUCCCUCACUCCCGUCCGCAGCUCCGUGGCCUCUCCAGACAGAGCCCAGCGAAUCCCACUUCACAUGCUCAAUCUGUUCUUCCUGUUUGCUAAAAUGUAAAUGAGGUCUAGCGUCACCCAGAACCCUUAGAUUUUUAUAAAACCACUCCAAAUAUAAACACGGCUCUCUAUAGAUUCCAUCUCUGACCUUUACGUAAGAAUAGGCCAAUCACGACAUAGCUUCAUAAUCCCUCACAAACCCAUUUCUCUUCCUUCUGUGUUCCUCACAGUCCCUCAUCCCUCAUCUCAAGGGUGGCCGGGAGGGUGAGCCGCCAGCCUGGCUCGAGACCCACGCCUGCAGGUGGACAAAACAUCCCGCUACUCCCCCAAGCUACGGAUUGCUGUGUUCUAACGAGAUGAAAUCGUUAAAAUGGCUUUAAUAAAAAUAAAAUCACGGAUGACAUGUGCCUAUGGUACAGAUCUCGUUAAACCUCACGGCUGUAAAACCCUAUACUUUAGAAGCGUGGCCUCUCCGUCCAAGUGACUUACAAGGGGUCCAGGAUCUGAUUUGCCCAUUUUGGCUCUGAUACUCAAGCAGGCCUGAGCCAAACAACUGUCUUCCCACAGUGGUGAUACCCAUCUUUAAGAGCGCUGCUAGUAGAUGCAACUGUAGCCAGGACGAAAUGAACCUGUCUGGCCCGGGGAAGGACCUGCUGCGCAUGCGCGUCCCGUCAGAGUAGGUGCAGAGGGUGAUUGAUGGCCAAGUCUUCUGGGGUACCCUGAGGUCUCACCGUGCCCUACUUUUCUGGGAUUAGUCUUGACUUCUAAUUAAUCAGCACCUUCCGGCCUUCUUAGGGUGAUGUCAUCUCUGCUAGACACCAACCAGGCAGAGCUUCGAUGGCUGCCAAGGCAGAGACCCGGGCUACUGAGGCUGUCACACCUAACCCCACGAGGCCGGCCACAACCAAGUCCACCCACAGAGCCCCUGUUUGCUUUUGUUAAUUACGAAAGCGCAAAUACCCUCUUCUUUUAUGUCAUAAUUGUGAAGCUAGAUAGAACCUGGGUUUUGCUUUGUUUUGUUUUUUUAAGGUGAAAUAUCAGGGCCCAGGAAAAUCUCAGGUAGUAGCGCCUUGCCUGUGGGUACAAAGCUCUAGGUUUUGGCUGAAGCAUCUCAAAGAAAAUAGCUCCCAAGGGGGAACGUUGUAUAAUCAUCCAAAGCCAUUCUUUCCAGACUAGCAUUUGUUCUCUUUGAUGUCCUCCUUUCUAACCUUUUUCCUUUCUCCAUGCAACAAAAUUUCAGGUGUUCAAUAGUGCCCACUUUAGUAGAUAUUUUAUACGUUUUUAAUUUUAGCAGAAAUGUAAAUUUUUAUGAAAUGUUGCUUUAAAGCUUUUAGAGUCACCUUAAUUGAUAUGCUAUCAAGUAUUUAAAUGUUUCGGGGCUGGAGGGAUGGCUCAGUGAUUAAGAGCACCCGACUACUCUUCCAGAGGUCCUGAGUUCAAUUCUCAGCAACCACAUGGUGGCUCACAACCAUCUGUAAUGGAUCCAAUUCUCUCUUCUGGUGUGUCUGAAGACAGUGACAGUGUACUCACAUAAAAUAAAUAAAUAAAUCUUAAAUGUUUCUAUUUGGGGGCAUUCCCCCAUUCUGAUGUUUGCAGUUUGUCCUAAUACUCAGUACCGGGAGGAGAAUCCUUUUACGUCACCCUCUGCUCAUUGGGCCUGUGUUUGAUUGAUCGCUCUUGGAGCAUGCGCACUCAACACAUUUCCACCCGGUUGGUACUGGAGUGACUGAAACCUGAAGAACCUCUGCUUUACCGUGUCGCUGAUGAAUGGGAAGCAGAACAGGGCAGGUUCUUUAGGGCAGCUUCUUGGUCUAGACCCUAGCCUGGAUAGGUGGAAGAGUUUUUGCCUUGGGGAGAGGGGUCAGGGGAGAAGGCGAACAGAGCCUUAAGAGGACAACUCUCCGAGAAAAGAAAUGAGUAGUGGGUUUUAGAGCAUUGCUGACAAACAUUCAGUAUUCUCCGAGUCACAGCGCCAGUGCUAUUUGUGGAAAUUGUACUUGUCUUUUAUUAAAGGAACUGAAAAUUAUGGUCUCAAGAAACUAAGCCUGAGUGAGCAAAGAAUAGCCUCGCUCAGUGCAGUUCCACCCUCUCGAAGGCCCUGUCGCACGUCACGAAAUGGCAGGGCAGAGUUUCUGCUAGAUUCCGGGUCAUGAGCCGUUUGAAAUGUCUGGGUUCCUGGCUCCUGCAAUCUCACCUGGAAUAAAGUGUGGGUAAUGGAAGAGAGGGUGGAAAGAAGACUGCCUGAAGGAUCCAUCUUCCCAGACGCCUUUUGUCAAGAAGGUCUUAGACACCCUGUUGCUAUUUAUUCUGGUUAGUAAAGGGCAUGCAGCCCUGCUCAUGGUGUCCUUGUCUGGGGGUGUUAUUUAUGGCCGAAUCUUCAACAGGAAGAACCUGACUUGGCAUCGCCCUCUGUUUGCCAUGGUUGACUUUCUCUUUAUGAAAGAUACACAGACUUUGUCUUCAGCUGACUCAGUGUUCUGAAUGCUAAUCUGUGAGGAAGGCCAGACUGACCAACAGCCCACACUCUGUCUGAAUUUAUAAAGUAGUUGGCAAGUUUGUGACAACGGAGACAUCAGUUCCUGAGCCAUCUGAAACCUACCAGUGUAACAGUGACAUCAGGGUCCUAAAGAGGACAACAAGGGUAGUUCUCCCCAAUCCCAGAGGUGGUGACUAUCAGUCUCUUCAGAACAACGCCCUUUCCUGGCAAUGUAGCCAUCACCCGCUUACUUCACUUGACUUUCGCCAUGAUCUCCUCCAGCAUCUGAGAGAGAAGACCCAGCCUUUGGAUACCCACCAGCAACAAACCUACCAAUCCCCACAUCUCCACAUCUCACUUAUUUUGCUCCAUAAGGGUUCUCGCUUGUUCCCAUUUCUGAAGAAUGGUUUCCUUCUUGCCGUCUGGCUCGCCCUGGGUUGGAAGAAAGCCAACUCCAUUCUCCUCAUGUCCAGUGAGGUCAGCUCCCCUCAGUCACAUUCUCUAGACGCUUGUUGACCCUGCUAUGUUGUCCCGGUAAAGGUCACCCAGCUUUUGAAUUCUUUCCACCACCCCCAGUUACGUGUGAUACCUUCUUAGAAACUUAAAAACAACAUUUAUUUCCUCAGUGGUUUUGUAUAUUUCCAUUUGGCAAACUUUAUUUUGUUCCAUGUGUUUCUAAGGGAACAGAAACGAAAAUGGUUUAUGUCCCACUUCCUACACUGGCCUGCCGUUGUCAGGACCGGAAAUGCCCUCAGUCCAAAGUGGGUACACCCAACCACAAGCUCAGCCUCAAAGCAGAGGCCGUGUAAGCUACGAGGACAAUGGGCAUUGUUUGGUUGUUGGAACAUCUACUACAGUGCACUUGCCUUAAUUGGUGACUUUUUUUUAAUAGAUCCAUGCCACUUUGUCUGGAUAUAAUUACAGUGUAAACGUGGUUUGCGUUAUAACUAUUACCACAACAACCGAGUCCUGUUAUUAAAAUGAAAGUGAGGACAGGACAAGAAGUCAAGAUGAAGGGCAGUCAUUCCUGGGCGGGGCUCACGGGGGCUGCUGGAGUGCAGGAAGCAUUCUAUUUGAGGAACUGGGUGGUAGUUUUCAUUCUGCCACAAUUUGUUGGGUUCAUUUAUAGACAUGUUUUUCUAUAUAUUUGUCCUGCUCUAAUAAGUGUAAUUUUUAUAAAAAAAGCAAAAAUAAGACAGGAUUUGAUUGAGGCAGGCAGCUUAGGCCAGCACUCCUUCUUCCACAGCAUUAUUUUAGUGUCUACUUUGUGAUCCACGGGACGCAAACACUUGGACAUAGUACAGAGAGGGUAAGCUUCAGUCCACAAGGCCUGACCUCAAGGAGAAUACAGUCCACAGGUAGUUACAAUACACACGAGAAGUGCAAGAGUUAGGUAAUUAUGUUUAAUUCAUAUAUUAGUUAUAAAGAAUAGCCAUUUGCCCUUUCUCCUCCUUGGGUGUCUGAAGGCAAGAUGGGUCACCAGCAGCUCUACUGGAGUCACCCACAAAAGUUCACCUAGGGUUCUCGCUCUUGCCGCGUCUGCUCUAACCGCCACGGUCUGAUCCGUAAAUACGGGCUGGACAUGUGCUGACAGUGCUUCGGUCAGUGUGCGGAGGACAUGGGCUUCGUUAAGCUGGACUAAGGGACCUGAAUGGAUGAUUCAACUGUCUACAGUGAAACCGAUCAUGCUAGUCUUUGUGCACACAGAAUAAAAAAAAAAAAAAAAAGAAUAGGCAUUUACACUGUGACACUUUCAUAUGUGUAAAUAUGUGUUGAUCACAUUUGUCCCUUUGUCCCUCUCUUGUUCUCCUUCUACUCCUGCUGAUCCCUUCCUCUUCUUCCUCUUCUUCCUCCUCCUCUUCUCUUCUAUUCCUCCUCUCCCUCCUCUUCCUCCUCCUCCUUCCUCUUCUUCCUCUUCUCCUUCUUCUUCCUCUUCUCUUCUUCCUUCUCCUCUUCCUCUUCCUCUUCCUCAUUUUCCUCUUCUUCCUGUUUCCUUUUUCCUCUUCCUCUUCUUCCUCCUCCCCCUCUUCCUCAUUUCCCUCUUCUUCCUCUUUCCCCCUCCUCCUCUUCCUCCUCUUCUUCUUCCAACCCUGUUGUAUUUUAUUUGGUUUCUUAUUAUACCCUAGGUUAACUAGCUAAAGAUCAUUUGCAAAAGUAAAGUCCCUGCCAGGGGUUAUACCACCAAAGAAAAUGUCCUUUCCUUCCCUCUACAACCCUAACCCUCCCAUCGACACUUGGGGAAGAUGAAAUCUCAGAGGAAAUAGCUGUAUAGCCGUCACCCACAGUAGGAUCGAGGUGGUCGGCUCUCAUGUGGGCCUUCUGUCAGUAAGCGUAAACGUUUGAGACCGGUACUGUCUCACUCUAGUCAGCCUUCUACCCCCCUCCACUUCUCCCUCUGGCUCCUAUGUUCCUUUCCCCUCCUCUUCCACUGUGUUUCCCAAGGGCUCAGCAUUUGGACUGAGGUAAUAAUUCUUAGUUUUGGCAAAUCUACCAUGCUGAGAUGUGAACAUUAGGCCUAAGGUGUACGUGAGAACCAACCGUGCAACCUUUGCGGCUUUUCUUCAUUGGCCCUAUUCAAAUGUAAAAUUAUGUUUUGAGUGUCAUAAAAAUGACUGUGAGCUAGAGAUUAUUUUUGUAUUAAGGUAAUUCAAGGUGACUUUAUAGACAAAAGGACAUUUCGAAGGAGCCUUAAAGGAAGGGUGAGAUUAUUAGAUAAGGAAACAGGAAGGCCAGGGGGGGAGGGACACAAAAUACAAGGAAAACUGUGUCUUAAGGCAGUACAGAGUUCUACAAACCUGCACAGCUGAGCAAGAAAGAAAUGUGGAGAACGCAUGGGAAAGGAACAGCGCCUCAGAGGAACUAAGACGAAUCUUCAGUUCUUUGACUUUAAUUUGUGGUGUUGGGAUCAAAUCUUGCACAUUAGACCGUACUUUUCCCACUGAGCCAUACCCCCAGGUAAAUGGUUGUUAGAAGGUAGGUAGCACACGAACACACACACACACACACACACACACACACACACACACACACCCUUCUGAAUUCCUGAUAAAAUCCAUUGCUUUACAAUGCAUGUUCAUUUGAAAAUAGACAGAAACUAACACAAUUAAGUCAGCCCCACACACCAUGAGUAUGCAUCUGUGCAGAGAGAAAGGAGCAU